This 490-nucleotide ribosomal RNA is filed under the name uncultured bacterium. RNAcentral's name for it is "partial 16S ribosomal RNA". It matches the Rfam family "Bacterial small subunit ribosomal RNA", at positions 30 to 507 of the family's 1533-position model. The record is from RNAcentral.
AUUGAACGCUGGCGGCAGGCCUAACACAUGCAAGUCGAACGGUAACAGGAAGAAGCUUGCUUCUUUGCUGACGAGUGGCGGACGGGUGAGUAAUGUCUGGGAAACUGCCUGAUGGAGGGGGAUAACUACUGGAGACGGUAGCUAAUACCGCAUAACGUCGCAAGACCAAAGAGGGGGACCUUCGGGCCUCUUGCCAUCGGAUGUGCCCAGAUGGGAUUAGCUAGUAGGUGGGGUAACGGCUCACCUAGGCGACGAUCCCUAGCUGGUCUGAGAGGAUGACCAGCCACACUGGAACUGAGACACGGUCCAGACUCCUACGGGAGGCAGCAGUGGGGAAUAUUGCACAAUGGGCGCAAGCCUGAUGCAGCCAUGCCGCGUGUAUGAAGAAGGCCUUCGGGUUGUAAAGUACUUUCAGCGGGGAGGAAGGGAGUAAAGUUAAUACCUUUACUCAUUGACGUUACCCGCAGAAGAAGCACCGGCUAACUCCGUG